Molecule: long non-coding RNA, 2231 nt
Organism: Alexandromys fortis (reed vole)
Lineage: Eukaryota; Metazoa; Chordata; Mammalia; Rodentia; Cricetidae
Exons: 6
Source: RefSeq, a predicted model, not a curated record
GGUUAUUUAUUCAGUGCCUCUGUGGGUCAUGUUUUAUACCGCCUGGGCUUCUUGUCAGGCCUUCGAGGAUCCAGCUUAGGUUGCACUCAGGAACGAAAACCCAAGGCCCCUUAAAUAAUGUUAACUUAACAGCUGACAUUUUUAUGAAAAAGUCUGCGCAGAUGCGUGCAGGAAAGGGGACAGGGCAGACAGAGAGCUGGAGGGAGAGGAGGAAGAAGUAACAAUGGCCUCGCCAAUCGAUUUCAACCUUCGGGGCCCUCCCUGGGAUAGAGAUCCCUCUCCAAAGAACUGUUCCAGGUUCUUCUUCUGCUGGAAUUGAAGAAGCAAGGCAUGGCCUCAUUUAAAGGACCCCCACAUGCUUGCCAUCUGAGUAACAGUUCAGGAGACAGUUUGACCUGAUUACUCUUGCAAAGAUAUCACCUUCACACACACAACACCAGUUGCCGCUCAACCUGCUGGAUAGCAACUGAAAAUGCCAGGUGCCUUGUUGGGGAGGUGGGAGGAGCCCCUUUCUGAGGCUUCCACCUGCUGGGUGAAAGGCCAUGCAAACACGCCAGUGCAUUAUUGAUGGGUUUGAAACAUGGUUUUGUGAUUGGAAGGGGCCCUGUCAUGGAACCUGCUUAGGAGCUGUCCUAGGGGAGCUGGGAAGUGUCAUUCGGUGCCAUUGCCUGAAAAUGCAGAGCAGGCAAAGAGGGAAGCCUGUGUGGGCCCUGACUCAGCCCCCAGAAGGUGCUGCAGCUUGGCUUGUCCGGGAGCGAGCAUGAAGGGACGACACCUGCUGUUGGAGGAAGGUUAUCAGCUCUGGAGGCUGGGAAGACCAACACCAAGCCCUGGAGGAAUCUUCUUCCCAUAUCAUCCCAUGGAAGAACUUGUGACUUGCCUAAGAGCUGGGAAUACAGCCAUCUAUGGACAACCCCUGCUAAGUCUCACCUUCCAGCAGUGUUACAAUGGCAAGUGCACUUCAACAAGGGUUUUGAAGGAGAAAAAUAAUCUGUAACAAAAGAGAAUGGAACGUGGAAAUAUCAUUCCUGUAUUCCUUCAAUCUGAGGGGCACAUCUAAGAAACACCAGUCCAUUCCAUCUCCCCACCGCUGCCACGGUCCUUUCUGAUUCUAGAGUGUAAAGGGCUGCAUCCCAACACAAGACUUGUGGCCACCAGCCUGCUCUAUUCUGAAGCACAGGGUUGUCUUAUACCUGUUCCCCAGAACUCACCUCCAUCACGUCUUCCUUAGAAAGAACUUCUCAAGCUGCCUGCUGAGGUCAAGCCCUCUCCUACAUUCAUCAGAACUCCCAUGGUCCAGACAGACUGAAGAGAAAAGAUGGAUGGCUUUCUUGAAAACGCAGCUAGUGGACUCUCAGAGCUGCUCUAGGCUUCAGAGCAAUGGAGCACUAUGACAGCUGUUCUGGACCAGAAGCGUUUCUUCCUUCCUCGUGAUGACUGUCCAUCCCUGUGCAAUGGCGUGUCUUCCUUUCACCUGUUGGAGGAAACCAGACAUUCCCUUUGUUGCUCAGUGAGUCAGACCACCUGCUCCUCAGGGCCCUGGAUGUCCUUGCCUUCCCCCAUGACUCCCGGUUCACUCAGGGCAGACUUAUGGCACACGGAUGUCAAUUUGGCUUGAAUUGCACAAUCGUUGCUGACAUUUCGUUAACCACCCUGUGAACUUCUCCAGCCCAAAGUCGCAGCAACUUGUGCCCUUGAACACCGAACAGAAAACAACCAUAUUGAUUUUCUACUAUCAACAAGGAAGAGACAAUCUGUCUGUGCUGAGACUGUUCAUAAUGCAUUUCAGCCGGCUCCUUCUUUCUCAGCAGCUGGCCUCCUCCCGACACAGGCCUGGGCUGCUUUCACCUCCUACUGCUUAGGUCUCUGCCAGAAUUAACCCUGAAGUGCUAGUGCCUUCUCAAGGUUUCCCCAUUCCUGGAUGUUCCGGAAUCAGCAUAAAUGGUGUUUUGCAAACAACCCGAUGAGAUGAAGGAGUUAAGACCACUUAGAGGUCACACCUGACCCCAGGAAGCAGGUCUGCAAGAAUCUCUUUUAGCAAAAUGCCUGUUUCAAAGACUGUGUCAUUUGGCUAUAUUAAAAGCAUUAUUUGUGUGCAUAUGGGUUGUUGCCUAUACAAAUUGAAGCGUCAGACCAUCAGACAGUAUAUUGUAUCCAUUGUAUCACCAAGUUCUGAUGUAUGAGUUAUUAUUCUGACUUACUAGAAAUGAAGCUUCUUUCAACCUGCCUUA